Molecule: long non-coding RNA, 928 nt
Filed under: Cricetulus griseus (Chinese hamster)
Lineage: Eukaryota; Metazoa; Chordata; Mammalia; Rodentia; Cricetidae
Description: lncRNA (ENSCGRG00015043288.1)
Source: RNAcentral
CUGGGCUGGGAACAGUAUGUUCAGACAGAGCCAGGAGAAUUCAUCGCUGUGAAGUUACAGGCCUUAGUCUGAGGCUGCUCUCCAGCUUGGCGCCUGACAGAGAAAAUUGGCUUUAGGUCAGAACCCUGGUGUAAUGAAAAGGCACGCUGGAGGGAGACCUAAACCCAAGGGCGGUCCUUCAAUGCCAGGAAACUGCCAGACUUCGGGUUGGUCACUCAUCUCUCUGGGACACUGUCCCUAUGAGUGUGAAGUGAAGGUAGUAGGGGCAGCCCCAUUUCUCUGAAAUAUUGAUAAGGACAAAAUGUGUGUGGAAGCAAAACUGUAAAGUGACAAGGCUUGUGAUCAACUCUGACAGUUGUGCCUAUGCCUGUCCAGGACCUAGGAUGAAAGCAAGGGCUGGAGAACUUUAGCACAAGAUAAAGGCAGAGAGAAUCUGGACAUCCAGCUCCAUAAAAAGGGAGGGUAAAUAACUCAGAAGACUCUGAAGAGAGAAACCUGCUCUGAAUCUUUAUAUAGAGAUGCUCUAGGAAAUGGUCCUCUUUAGGAAUCUCUGACCCUGAUGUCCACCACUGGGCCCUUGCAACAUCAUCCAUGAUGCUGUCUCUUCUCUCCAAUGCUUCUGGCUGUGGGUCAUGGACCAGAGCACACAGAUAUUUUUAUGUCAUUGUAAUGGAUUAAUGAUGGCUCAAAAUCAAAUCUUUGCAGAAUAUCAAAGAUUCACAUCAGAGACACAAGGGUGAAAGUUCCCUUCCUUGAAAUAUAGAGCUUUAGGUUUUUGGUUUGGGGUUAUAUUUUUAAUGUUGAAUAUAUUCAUCAUAUUCUUUUAACCUAAGAAUCCAAAAUAAAAUCCACAUGGUGCCAAAGUAUGAAAGCCUUCAAAGAACAGAGAACAACUUUGGAAGCAAUAAAAUAUAUUUUUAAAAAUUUG